RNAcentral lists this ribosomal RNA (507 nucleotides) under uncultured bacterium. RNAcentral describes it as "partial 16S ribosomal RNA". It matches the Rfam family "Bacterial small subunit ribosomal RNA", at positions 28 to 506 of the family's 1533-position model. The record is from RNAcentral.
GACGAACGCUGGCGGCGUGCCUAAUACAUGCAAGUCGAACGCUUCUUUCCUCCCGAGUGCUUGCACUCAAUUGGAAAGAGGAGUGGCGGACGGGUGAGUAACACGUGGGUAACCUACCCAUCAGAGGGGGAUAACACUUGGAAACAGGUGCUAAUACCGCAUAACAGUUUAUGCCGCAUGGCAUAAGAGUGAAAGGCGCUUUCGGGUGUCGCUGAUGGAUGGACCCGCGGUGCAUUAGCUAGUUGGUGAGGUAACGGCUCACCAAGGCCACGAUGCAUAGCCGACCUGAGAGGGUGAUCGGCCACACUGGGACUGAGACACGGCCCAGACUCCUACGGGAGGCAGCAGUAGGGAAUCUUCGGCAAUGGACGAAAGUCUGACCGAGCAACGCCGCGUGAGUGAAGAAGGUUUUCGGAUCGUAAAGCUCUGUUGUUAGAGAAGAACAAGGACGUUAGUAACUGAACGUCCCCUGACGGUAUCUAACCAGAAAGCCACGGCUAACUACGU